CCCUUAGAUGUCCUGGGCCGCACGCGCGUUGCACUGAUGCAUUCAACGAGCUUAUAACCUUGGCCGAGAGGCCUGGGCAAUCUUGUUAACGUGCAUCGUGAUAGGGAUAGAUUAUUGAAAUUAUUAAUCUUGAACGAGGAAUUCCUAGUAAACGCAGAUCAUCAAUCUGCAUUGAUUACGUCCCUGCCCUUUGUACACACCGCCCGUCGCACCUACCGAUUGGAUGGUCCGGUGAAGCCUCGGGAUUGUGGUUCUUGCCGCUUUAUUGUGGCGUGACCGCGAGAACUUGUCUAAACCUUAUCAUCUAGAGGAAGGUGAAGUCGUAACA
Molecule: ribosomal RNA, 328 nt
Filed under: uncultured eukaryote
Lineage: Eukaryota
Description: partial 18S ribosomal RNA
Rfam family: Eukaryotic small subunit ribosomal RNA
Source: RNAcentral